UUUGCUUAGGUUGCUAGAGUAAUUUCUUCUUACUUACACUCAAAGAAACCUCACUGCUCUACUCCUUUGUUGGAAAACAAAGAAGGAUGUGUGCUGGAUCCAGACUUUUAACAAGGGUGGAGUCAAGAAGAUUACACCUUCAAGAAGGAUAAUGUGCGGAAUCCGUACCAAAUGGGAAUUGCAGGGUGCGGGCCUUCUGGAAGAGAACACGUGAGCAAAACUCAACAAAAGCAGUGAAAGCAGAACUAUCUGUUAAGAAAUGUGUGGAGCUGCCAGAAUCCUGCUGAGUGGCCCCUAACAUCUGGAACAGACAGCGGCAAAUGUGGGGAGUAAGAAAGUUAUUCUCCUGCUGUUCCUGGAAGAUAAAGUAAUGCUCAUUAAGGCUUGGAGUGAUGUCCAGGGAUUCAC
Molecule: long non-coding RNA, 408 nt
Organism: Lontra canadensis (Northern American river otter)
Lineage: Eukaryota; Metazoa; Chordata; Mammalia; Carnivora; Mustelidae
Exons: 3
Source: RefSeq, a predicted model, not a curated record